Molecule: ribosomal RNA, 523 nt
Filed under: uncultured bacterium
Lineage: Bacteria
Description: partial 16S ribosomal RNA
Rfam family: Bacterial small subunit ribosomal RNA
Source: RNAcentral
GACGAACGCUGGCGGCGUGCCUAAUACAUGCAUGUCGAGCGCAGGAAAUCGACGGAACCCUUCGGGGGGAAGUCGACGGAAUGGGCGGCGGACGGGUGAGUAACACGUAAAGAACCUGCCCUCAGGUCUGGGAUAACCACGAGAAAUCGGGGCUAAUACCGGAUGGGUCAUCGGACCGCAUGGUCCGAGGAUGAAAGGCGCUUCGGCGUCGCCUGGGGAUGGCUUUGCGGUGCAUAGCUAGUUGGUGGGGUAAUGGCCCACCAAGGCGACGGUGCAUAGCCGACCUGAGAGGGUGAUCGGCCACACUGGGACUGAGACACGGCCCAGACUCCUACGGGAGGCAGCAGUAGGGAAUCUUCCACAAUGGACGAAAGUCUGAUGGAGCAACGCCGCGUGAACGAUGAAGGCCUUCGGGUCGUAAAGUUCUGUUGUAAGGGAAGAACAAGUGCCGCAGGCAAUGGCGGCACCUUGACGGUACCUUGCGAGAAAGCCACGGCUAACUACGUGCCAGCAGCCGCGGUAA